CAGGUAAGGGUGAAAGGGUGAGGUAAGAGCUCACCAGUUCCGGCGGUGACGUCGGAAGCUCGGUAAACCCCAUCCGGAGCAAGGCCGAAUAGGGAAACGUUUGAGGGCGGUCCGUCCAAGGUUUCCGGGUUAGGCUGCUUGAGGCCGUCGGCAACGGCGGUCCUAGAUGAAUGAUCAUCGUCCCGGCGGGGGUAACCGCGUCGGGGAACAGGACCCGGCUUACGGACUUCUUUAACCA
This 238-nucleotide RNase P RNA is filed under the name Desulfuromonas sp. Its description in RNAcentral is "partial RNase P RNA component class A". It matches the Rfam family "Bacterial RNase P class A", at positions 145 to 367 of the family's 367-position model. From Rfam's summary of the family: Ribonuclease P (RNase P) is a ubiquitous endoribonuclease, found in archaea, bacteria and eukarya as well as chloroplasts and mitochondria. Its best characterised activity is the generation of mature 5'-ends of tRNAs by cleaving the 5'-leader elements of precursor-tRNAs. The record is from RNAcentral. Lineage: Bacteria; Pseudomonadati; Thermodesulfobacteriota; Desulfuromonadia; Desulfuromonadales; Desulfuromonadaceae.